ACCAGACUCCUACGGGAGGCAGCAGUGGGGAAUAUUGCACAAUGGGGGAAACCCUGAUGCAGCGACGCCGCGUGAGUGAAGAAGUAUUUCGGUACGUAAAGCUCUAUCAGCAGGGAAGAAAAAAAGUCCUUUGGACUUUGGACGGUACCUGACUAAGAAGCCCCGGCUAACUACGUGCCAGCAGCCGCGGUAAUACGUAGGGGGCAAGCGUUAUCCGGAUUUACUGGGUGUAAAGGGGGCGCAGACGGCAGCGCAAGUCUGGAGUGAAAGCCCGGGGCCCAACCCCGGGACUGCAUUGGAAACUGCGAGGCUGGAGUGUCGGAGAGGCAGGCGGAAUUCCUAGUGUAGCGGUGAAAUGCGUAGAUAUUAGGAGGAACACCAGUGGCGAAGGCGGCCUGCUGGACGAUGACUGACGCUGAGGCUCGAAAGCGUGGGGAGCAAAUAGGAUUAGAUACCCCGGUA
This 462-nucleotide ribosomal RNA is filed under the name uncultured bacterium. Its description in RNAcentral is "partial 16S ribosomal RNA". It matches the Rfam family "Bacterial small subunit ribosomal RNA", at positions 330 to 792 of the family's 1533-position model. The record is from RNAcentral.